RNAcentral lists this ribosomal RNA (440 nucleotides) under uncultured bacterium. RNAcentral describes it as "partial 16S ribosomal RNA". It matches the Rfam family "Bacterial small subunit ribosomal RNA", at positions 338 to 795 of the family's 1533-position model. The record is from RNAcentral.
CCUACGGGGUGCAGCAGUGGGGAAUAUUGCACAAUGGGGGAAACCCUGAUGCAGCGACGCCGCGUGAGUGAAGAAGUAAUUCGUUAUGUAAAGCUCUAUCAGCAGGGAAGAAAAUGACGGUACCUGAGUAAGAAGCCCCGGCUAACUACGUGCCAGCAGCCGCGGUAAUACGUAGGGGGCAAGCGUUCUCCGGAUUUACUGGGUGGAAAGGGAGCGUAGACGGCAGUGCAAGUCUGGAGUGAAAGGCGGGGGCUCAACCCCCGGACUGCUCUGGAAACUGUACGGCUGGAGUGCAGGAGAGGUAAGUGGAAUUCCUAGUGUAGCGGUGAAAUGCGUAGAUAUUAGGAGGAACACCAGUGGCGAAGGCGGCUUACUGGACUGUAACUGACGUUGAGGCUCGAAAGCGUGGGGAGCAAACAGGAUUAGAUACCCUGGUAGUC